Molecule: transfer RNA, 72 nt
Filed under: Marmota monax (woodchuck)
Lineage: Eukaryota; Metazoa; Chordata; Mammalia; Rodentia; Sciuridae
Description: tRNA.Ala
Source: RNAcentral
GGGGUUGUAGCUCAGUGGUAGAGUGCUUGCCUGGCAUGUUGUGAGGCAUUGAGUUCGAUUUUCAGCACCACA